CCUACGGGAGGCUGCAGUGGGGAAUUUUGGGCAAUGGGGGGAACCCUGACCCAGCGACGCCGCGUGAGGGAUGACGGCCUUCGGGUUGUAAACCUCUUUUGUACGGGAAGAUAAUGACGGUACUGUACGAAUAAGUCCCGGCUAACUACGUGCCAGCAGCCGCGGUAACACGUAGGGGACGAGCGUUGUCCGGAAUUACUGGGCGUAAAGGGCACGCAGGCUGCGUUACAAGUCAGCUGUUAAAUGCAGGGGCUCACCCCUUGUCUGCUGUUGAAACUGUAAUGCUUGAGUACUGUAGAGGCAAGCGGAAUUCCCAGUGUAGCGGUGAAAUGCGUAGAUAUUGGGAGGAACACCGGUGGCGUAGGCGGCUUGCUGGACAGUUACUGACGCUGAGGUGCGAAAGCCAGGGGAGCAAACGGGCUUAGAUACCCCUGUAGUC
RNAcentral lists this ribosomal RNA (439 nucleotides) under uncultured bacterium. RNAcentral's name for it is "bacterial SSU rRNA". It matches the Rfam family "Bacterial small subunit ribosomal RNA", at positions 338 to 795 of the family's 1533-position model. The record is from RNAcentral.